This is a long non-coding RNA of Pectinophora gossypiella (pink bollworm), 1903 nucleotides long. RefSeq lists it as uncharacterized. The record is from RefSeq and is a predicted model, not a curated record. Lineage: Eukaryota; Metazoa; Arthropoda; Insecta; Lepidoptera; Gelechiidae. The transcript has 2 exons.
CGGCGCGCGCGUCUCGACGCCACUGCGCCGACGCACCUCACUCCUACUACCAGCCGGUAACAUUCGUCCGAAGAGACAAUAUUCGUCGCAGACGAGCCGCACGCAGUCGUAAGCGCAGAUCUAGCGGAGACCGAGUGAAAGUAAACUUGGACGUUACUACAUUGCAUUACUGAUGUACGAACGAAGAAUUCUCAUUUACUUCAUUUUGGUCAUUUUAAAUAUUUCAUAGCAGCUUACUUAGUAGCUCAUACUAAGAGUCGGAAUUUAUGGUAAAUACUCUAAAUACAUACUUGCGGUGUUAUAGCCAAGUUGCAAACGAUUAUGACAAUAGAAAGAUGUUUUCUUGAUGAUUAACUUAUUGUAGAUUUGUCGCAAAUGGCAUUCACUACUUAGCUGGACAAACGGGGAGCGCUCUCACCCGGACAAUAGAUAGUGAUUAUGACAAUAUUCAGUGAAUGUUGACUGUUAUCAUAUAUACUAUACACACCCAUGAUUCCUAAGGGGGUGGGCUCAACCACAAAUAAUUAGAAUGCAAUUUGCAUGCCUGUAAGAUUUUUCAUUUACUACUUCUCCAAUUUCGUUUCGACCUUUUUUGUAGAUUCCCAUUCCAUGAUAGGUUAGGGCGAAUUAAUCGCCUUUCUUUUAACUCUCAGGUACCUACAAAGAAAAUAAUAUACGAUCGAGUUCCAAGAGUAGUCGCUGUGUAAAGGUAAAUUCACUUAGAUAGACCUCACAGAUUAUUACAGCGCGACGGAAUGGUGCACUGUGCGCCCGCGCAGCUGACGGAGAGAUUUCAUACUCAGUUGAUUACUUCCUCACUACGAUAGUGAUUAGAUUUUCCCCACUUCAUAUCUGAAGUUCCGGUGAAUAUUGUCAUCAUAAUCGUUUAUAAACGAUUUUUUUUUAUUUUAAUCGAUAAAUAUACCUAGUUUUUAUUGAGAGUCACUCUGGUAUUGUGAUCCACUGGCUUGAUUCUACAAACGGGGAGCGCCGGUUUGAACCCCGGUACUGGACUUGUACCAAUGAGUUAUUAAUUUAUAUCUUAAGUGCAGUUUUCACUAACACAGCUUAGUUGGCUCGCUUUUUUUUUGACGUGACUUGGGUAGUUUCUUAGGUCAAAAAUAAAUUAAGAAACGCUAAUUACUAAGUAAAGACAGAUCGAUAGGUGACAAAAAAGGUUUUCUUUUUUCUAUUUUAUUUAUUUAUGAAUUUUAAUAAGAAAAAUGUAAUAAGAAGUGUGACAUUUUGUCACGUUUUUCUAUGACGUCACAGGUUGCUUUUUCGUACAAAUUCCAUAGUAAUUUCGUGUUUUGAGGUUAGUAAAAAGUAACUGAUUUGACUAGUUGGAAACUACCCCAUUACGGCUCACCAGCUAUCACGUUGGUCUAACAGAAAGCGAUAUGAGGUGUGGUUUCUUUAGGUCAUCUUGCGAUGGAUGUAUGUUUAAAAACAUUUUACAAUUGUAAAUCGUCCCUUAUCACUUGGAUCAAGCAACUAAAUUACGACACAUGUGAGCAAUUGCUUCACACUACACAUAUAUGAGUAGGAAACGUAAAAUACUAUUACCACUUAAAUUUUUCACAAUAAACACCCACCCACACACACACUCACACACACAAACACACUCACACACACACACGUACACACGCACACACACACACACACAUAUACACACCGCACAUACACACACACACACCGCACACACACACACACACACACCUCUUUAUCUUUACUUCUGUCAAAAAAUUUUAUUCACAUAAGUCUUUAAAAAGUAUAAGAUGUUUAAAAUAUGGAGGAGCGGAGCCUCCUGAUACAGGCAUCCUUCUUGCUUAAAAGGAGACUCCAUCAAUUAGUUGUAAGAUGUUUAAAAUUGUAAACGAAAAUAAAUAUUUUUGAUUUUUGA